RNAcentral lists this ribosomal RNA (274 nucleotides) under uncultured bacterium. Its description in RNAcentral is "partial 16S ribosomal RNA". It matches the Rfam family "Archaeal small subunit ribosomal RNA", at positions 473 to 747 of the family's 1478-position model. The record is from RNAcentral.
AAACCAGCACCUCAAGUGGUCAGGAUGAUUAUUGGGCCUAAAGCAUCCGUAGCCUGCUGUAUAAGUUUUCGGUUAAAUCCAUGUGCUCAACACAUGGGCUGCCGGGAAUACUGUACAGCUAGGGAGUGGGAGAGGUAGACGGUACUCGGUAGGAAGUGGUAAAAUGCUUUGAUCUAUCGAUGACCACCUGUGGCGAAGGCGGUCUACCAGAACACGUUCGACGGUGAGGGAUGAAAGCUGGGGGAGCAAACCGGAUUAGAAACCCGAGUAGUCC